CUAUGCAAUGGUAGUAACAGAGUUUGGAUCCUGGCUCAGAUUGAACGCUGGCGGAUGCUUUACAGAUGCGGCUGAAUCGGCAGCACGGACUUCCGGUCUGGUGGCGAGUGGCGGAACGGUGAGUAUUGUAUCGGAACGCCUAGUAGCGGGGAUAACUACGCGAAAGUGCAGCCAUUACCGUGCACAUUACCUUCGGGGAAAGCGGGGACCUUCGGGCCUCGCAUCACACGAGCGGCCGAUAUCGGAUUAGCUAGUUGUGGUAACGGCUCUACUAUAUGAUGAUCCGUAGCUGGUUUGAGAGGACGACCAGCCACAUUGGGAUCGGUAUACGGCCCAGACCUUGCCGGGAGGCAGCAGUGGGGAAUUUUGACAAUGGGGGAACCCUUGAUCCAGCGCCAUCUCGUGUGCGAUGAAGGCCUUAUUGUAAAGCACUUUUGGCAGGAGAAGAACGGCACGGGAUAAUACCCGCGUAAAUCUGACGGUACCUGCAGAAUAAGUAAUCGCUAAUCGUCGCCGUGUUGCUGCAAUAUCGUAGCGUAAGCGUUAACGGAAUUACUGGGCGUGGGGCGUGCGCAGGCGGUUCGGAAAGAAAGAUGCGGAAUCCCAGAGCGCAAUCUUAAACCGCAUUUUUAACUACCGAGCUUGAGAGUGUGUCAGAGGGAGGUGGAAUUCCUAUGGCAGGAAUGCGUAGAUAUGCGGAGUGAACACCGAUGGCGAAGGCAGCUCUUCCUGAUAACACUGACGCUCAUGCACGAAAGCGUGGGGAGCAAACAGGAUUAGAUACCUCCUGAGGUUCCACGCCCUAAACGAUGUCAACUAUUGCUGGGGCUUUGGUCGGCAGCGCAGUUGACUGCGGAAGCCAUCUGCCUGGGGAGGCCGGUCGCAAGAUUAAAACCCAAAGCGAAUUGACGGGGACCGCACACAAGCGGUGAUGAUGGGAUUACCCGAUGCAACGCGAAAAACCAACAUCUCUUGACAUGGGCCUGAAUCCCAGCGAGACUGGGGUGCUCGGCAGAGAACCCGAACAGGUAAAAGGCAUGGCUGCCGCCGUAUUUCCGUGGCCGAGAUGUUGGGUUAAGUCCUGCAACGAGCGCGAACCCUUGUCAUUAGUUACAACAAAGUACCGACGAGAUCGCCGGUAAUGUAAACCGGAUAAAGGUGGAUGACGUCAAGUCCUCAUGGCUCUAUGGGUAGGGCUACACGUCAUACAAUGGUCGGGACAGAGGGUCGCCAACCCGCGAGGGGGAGCCAAUCCCAGAAACCCGAUCAGGAACUGGAUCGCAGGCCCGCAACUCGACUGCGUGAAGUCGGAAUCGCUAGUAAUCGGUGAUCAGCAUGUCGCGGUGAAUACGUUCCCAGUCUUGUACACACCACUGGUCACACUGCGAGUGGGUUUUACCGUGUGCUUGGUUAGCCUAACCGUAAGGAGGGCGAUUACCACGGUAGGAUUCAUGACUGGGGUGAAGUCGUAACAAGGCAG
RNAcentral lists this ribosomal RNA (1480 nucleotides) under uncultured Bordetella sp. RNAcentral's name for it is "partial 16S-23S ribosomal RNA intergenic spacer". It matches the Rfam family "Bacterial small subunit ribosomal RNA". The record is from RNAcentral. Lineage: Bacteria; Pseudomonadati; Pseudomonadota; Betaproteobacteria; Burkholderiales; Alcaligenaceae.